This 1595-nucleotide long non-coding RNA is filed under the name Oryctolagus cuniculus (rabbit). Its description in RNAcentral is "lncRNA (ENSOCUG00000032506.1)". The record is from RNAcentral. Lineage: Eukaryota; Metazoa; Chordata; Mammalia; Lagomorpha; Leporidae.
AUGUCCAGCAAACCAAGCUGCUGGUUUUCACAGACAGCCCCACCCACCCUGGUAGCACCACAAGCUCAGGGUGGGGAGGAGAGGGACACAGCUCCAGGCCAGCACACCACCUUCUCCCGCUCUUCUUUCCUGGACGGUCACCAUUCAUCCAUCCAUCCAUCCAUCAGUGCUGUCUGUUUUGUGGUUGGUUGGUUGGUUGGGUGGUUUGGUGGAUUCCCAGAGUCCUUAACGGUUGUUGGUUUUGUCUUGUUUCAUAGCUGUCGGACACAUUUGCUGAGGAAAGCCAGACAUGAGCGCCUCCUUCAGCACCGGACACAGCCUAGGAUCUGGCUGGGCUCAGGACCUCCCCUCCCAUCUCGAGUGCCACGAGGAAUGUUUGUUCCCGUUCUCUGCUGGGGCAGAUGCUAUGGUGGGGCCUCCUCCUUGACGAAGCUGUGGGACUCAGAGCCAGGCUCUGUGUGGCCCGACGAUCCUGCUGACCCCGGCCUCCUGCAGACCAUGGCCGCCAUACCCCUGGCCGCGUCUCCAGCUUUUCAAGUGGGAAGAAACCACCCCGCUACCCAGGACCUGACUUCUGUGGGCCAUCCUCAGUAAGCCCCUAAAAUGUGCACGUUCCACGUGAGGAAGCUGAGGAACAUUCAUGUUGAGUCACCCUCACUGCUAGGAGGAGAUGGAGUCGCGACUGCAGCUCGGGCUUUCCUGCUUUGUAAUCCCGACGCCUCCACCACUGCUGAAUGGAAGUAGUUACUUCUGGAUUGGGUAGGUGAGCGCAUGCCGUGCAUUUUGGCUACUGCACAGAGCCAGGAAUCUGGGAACCACAAUUAUGUCACCUCCAGAAAAACUGCUUCUGUGUGGGUGAGUAGGCAGUGUUGCUGUGAGAGGACAGUUUUCUCUCCAGCUGGGACGCUGAGGAUGGGUAAUGUUUCUGACUCCCCUAAACCCCUGGGUUGGUGUGGCAACUGCUCCUCCUGUUGCUCACCAAGCAUACUGAGGCUUCUGGGCUGGCGAGUGAUUUGUAGUAUUUCCUAAACUCUUCCCAGCUACACUUAAAAGACACGGACCCUACUUGCAGGCUCCAUCAGAGAAGUAAAACUGCUAACCUGAAACAAAAUCUAUCUGAGAAGUAAUGAGAGGAUUAAGUAUAUUGUAGGGAAAACAUGAGGAAUUUGGAGACAGCCUUAUGUGCCCUGUUUAUAUCAUCGUGAGCAAGUAAUAAUUUAUUUUCUCUGUUUUCUUAUCUGUUAAUUAUACCUUUUCUUUUUAUUUUUCUUACUGGUUACCCUGGAGUUCCCAGCUCUAUAAUUACAAGUAAUCCAAAUCCACUGUUAAAUAACACUAUCCCACUCAAGAGUAAGUAUCUUAUAAUCAUAAAAUAUUUCUGAUUCCUCCCUGUCAUCCCUCAAAUAUCAUUACUGCCAUUCAUUUCACUUAUAUGCAAGCUUGCAUGCAAAUAUAUGUGUGUGCAUACAUAGGUACAUUUUGCAUUAUUAUUUUGAACAAAUUAGUACCUGAUCCACUAAGAAUAAGAAAAAUAUAAUACUGGACAUUUUUUAAAAGAAUGGGAAAAAUAAGUUUUUUUUUAAUUUUUUUGACAG